UGGGGAAUUUUGCACAAUGGGGGAAACCCUGAUGCAGCGACGCCGCGUGAUUUAGACGGCCUUCGGGUUGUAAAAAUCUUUUCUAUGGGAAGAAAAUGACAGUACCAUAGGAAUAAGGACCGGCUAAUUACGUGCCAGCAGCCGCGGUAAUACGUAAGGUCCGAGCGUUGUCCGGAAUCAUUGGGCGUAAAGGGUACGUAGGCGGGUAAGCAAGUUAGAAGUGAAAUCCUAUAGCUCAACUAUAGUAAGCUUUUAAAACUGCUCAUCUUGAGGUAUGGAAGGGAAAGUGGAAUUCCUAGUGUAGCGGUGAAAUGCGCAGAUAUUAGGAGGAAUACCGGUGGCGAAGGCGACUUUCUGGCCAAAACCUGACGCUGAGGUACGAAAGCGUGGGUAGCAAACAGG
This 402-nucleotide ribosomal RNA is filed under the name bacterium. Its description in RNAcentral is "partial 16S ribosomal RNA". It matches the Rfam family "Bacterial small subunit ribosomal RNA", at positions 355 to 776 of the family's 1533-position model. The record is from RNAcentral.